CGCAGGGUAGAUCAGGCGGUAGAUCACCGGGCCCAUAACCCGGUUGUCGGCGGUUCGAAUCCGCCCCCUGCAACCA
RNAcentral lists this transfer RNA (76 nucleotides) under Variovorax sp. PMC12. RNAcentral describes it as "tRNA-Met". It matches the Rfam family "tRNA". Rfam says of the family: Transfer RNA (tRNA) molecules are approximately 80 nucleotides in length. Lineage: Bacteria; Pseudomonadati; Pseudomonadota; Betaproteobacteria; Burkholderiales; Comamonadaceae. The record is from RNAcentral.